Long non-coding RNA from Lacerta agilis (Sand lizard), 488 nucleotides. RefSeq lists it as uncharacterized. The transcript has 2 exons. The record is from RefSeq and is a predicted model, not a curated record. NCBI's taxonomy places the organism in Eukaryota, Metazoa, Chordata, Lepidosauria, Squamata, Lacertidae.
AUCUGAUUGGAGAGUUUGACCCCACCAUGGAAGACAGCCACAAGAUCAUCUGUGGGAUUACAGACACUCUGAGACUUUACAAGGAAAUGUUUGAUGAGCUCAAGAAACAGCUGCAGCUGCCAAUCACAAUGUUUCUGACAAAGAAACCAUCACCAUCAGUGGAUGUGCACAGGCAAUCCUCCUCUGGAUCUUAACCACAGCCAAGAACGUGUUCUGGCUACCUGUCAAUCCCCACCUCCCACCUCGGUCCUCAUAUCAUUUGCAGCAAUUAUCCAGUGAGGGCGAGAAGGAGGAAAACCAGGAGGAAGACUGAGGGUUGCAUUUGCCCCUCACUGAAUGUACAUGAUGACACCAAGAGACCACAUAUCGCAGGAUUUGUCAUACUUCUCAGGACCAAGGACUUCUGGGGCUGAGUGGGAUGGGGAAGAGAACCAAAAGAACUGUGAAUGUCAGUUUCUCUUAUUUUGAUCACAAAUAUUUGCAUUUUU